This 99-nucleotide small RNA is filed under the name Shewanella fodinae. The record is from RNAcentral. Lineage: Bacteria; Pseudomonadati; Pseudomonadota; Gammaproteobacteria; Alteromonadales; Shewanellaceae.
AGAGAUCGCAAUCCUGUCAUAUCUCAACUUAAGCGCACGGCUCUUAAUGAGCCAUUCCCCUGGGCCCAAAACAAUCGGAAUAGUUUUGGGCCUCUUUUU